GCGAACGCUGGCGGCGUGCUUAACACCUGCAAGUCGAACGGAAAGGCCCUGCUUUUGUGGGGUGCUCGAGUGGCGAACGGGUGAGUAACACGUGAGUAACCUGCCCUUGACUUUGGGAUAACUUCAGGAAACUGGGGCUAAUACCGGAUAGGAGCUCCUGCUGCAUGGUGGGGGUUGGAAAGUUUCGGCGGUUGGGGAUGGACUCGCGGCUUAUCAGCUUGUUGGUGGGGUAGUGGCUUACCAAGGCUUUGACGGGUAGCCGGCCUGAGAGGGUGACCGGCCACAUUGGGACUGAGAUACGGCCCAGACUCCUACGGGAGGCAGAAGUGGGGAAUAUUGCACAAUGGGCGGAAGCCUGAUGCAGCAACGCCGCGUGCGGGAUGACGGCCUUCGGGUUGUAAACCGCUUUCGCCUGUGACGAAGCGUGAGUGACGGUAAUGGGUAAAGAAGCACCGGCUAACUACGUG
RNAcentral lists this ribosomal RNA (467 nucleotides) under uncultured bacterium. Its description in RNAcentral is "partial 16S ribosomal RNA". It matches the Rfam family "Bacterial small subunit ribosomal RNA", at positions 30 to 507 of the family's 1533-position model. The record is from RNAcentral.